CGGACGGGUGAGUAAUGUCUGGGAAACUGCCUGAUGGAGGGGGGUAACUACUGGAAACGGUAGCUAAUACCGCAUAACGUCGCAAGACCAAAGCGGGGGACCUCCGGGCCUCGCGCCAUCAGAUGAACCCAUAUGGGAUUAGCUAGUAGGUAAGGUAACGGCUUACCUAGGCGACGAUCCCUAGCUGGUCUGAGAGGAUGACCAGCCACACUGGAACUGAGACACGGUCCAG
RNAcentral lists this ribosomal RNA (232 nucleotides) under uncultured bacterium. RNAcentral describes it as "partial 16S ribosomal RNA". It matches the Rfam family "Bacterial small subunit ribosomal RNA", at positions 99 to 334 of the family's 1533-position model. The record is from RNAcentral.